AACGCACCUUGCGCUCCUUGGUAUUCCGAGGAGCAUGCCUGUUUGAGUGUCAUUAAAUUCUCAACCUCAUCAGUUUUGUUAUGAGACUGUGUGAGGCUUGGAUGUGGGGGUUUUUGCAGGCUGCCUCAGUGCGGUCUGCUCCCCUGAAAUGCAUUAGCGAGUUCCAACUGGGCUCCGUCUAUUGGUGUGAUAAUUAUCUACGCCGUGGAUUGGGCUUAGACUUGCUUCUAACCGUCCGCAAGGACAAUCUUUUGACAAUUUGACCUCAAAUCAGGUAGGACUACCCGCUGAACUUAA
This 297-nucleotide unclassified non-coding RNA is filed under the name uncultured Psathyrella. Its description in RNAcentral is "sequence contains ITS2". The stretch from base 1 to 52 matches the Rfam family "5.8S ribosomal RNA", at positions 103 to 154 of the family's 154-position model. Lineage: Eukaryota; Fungi; Basidiomycota; Agaricomycetes; Agaricales; Psathyrellaceae. The record is from RNAcentral.